This 251-nucleotide non-coding RNA is filed under the name Dorea formicigenerans. Its description in RNAcentral is "T-box sequence". It matches the Rfam family "T-box leader". From Rfam's summary of the family: Uncharged tRNA acts as the effector for transcription antitermination of genes in the T-box leader family. T-boxes are found upstream of many aminoacyl-tRNA synthetase genes and some amino acid biosynthetic genes usually in Gram-positive bacteria. The anticodon of a specific tRNA base pairs to a specifier sequence within the T-box motif, and the NCCA acceptor tail of the tRNA base pairs to a conserved bulge in the T-box antiterminator hairpin. Lineage: Bacteria; Bacillati; Bacillota; Clostridia; Lachnospirales; Lachnospiraceae. The record is from RNAcentral.
UAGAAACCGUUGAGAAAGAGAAGUAGAUGAUUUGACGAAGUUUCAGAGAGCGGCAGGUGGUGUGAUUGCCGUACUAAGUGGAUGAUCGAAUGGACUUUCGAGGGCAGCCGGAAAUUCUGAAUACAGAAGAUUAUGGUUUGUCGGGAACCGAACCCGUUAUCAAUCAGGAGUGUAUGUUAGUACAUGAGAAAAGUGGACAUUAUGUCAAGUUGAGUGGUACCGCGAUAAUAGAUAAUAUUACCGCCUCAAAC